RNAcentral lists this unclassified non-coding RNA (194 nucleotides) under uncultured Mucoromycota. Its description in RNAcentral is "sequence contains ITS2". The record is from RNAcentral. Lineage: Eukaryota; Fungi; Mucoromycota.
UUUAAUAACAAUCGAUGUGUUGCUUUUGUUAGUAAUACAACGGAAUUGAGUUAUCUUAACAUUUUGGUUUAAGAGGCUUAAAAUUAAUUUAAUUUUGUAUUUAAAACGUAUUUAGAAUUUUCUAUGCGUUUCGGAUGCAAGAAUUUUAUUAGGUAUGAUCAUUUUCAUGAUAUCAUACUCAUAAUUUUUUCAAC